AUGUGAUAGUUAGGGGUGAAAGGCUAUUCAAAUUUCGUUGAUAACUGGAUUAAGCUAAAAAAUAUUAAGUAUUUCCGACACAAGCUCAAAAAUCUAAGCUUUUGAGUUUAUUAAGAUAUAUGUUAGAGAAAUUAAAAUCAACUUUAUUAAUAUAAUAAUGUCUAAACUAAAUUAAUAAUUAAUUUACUUUUAUUUUUAAAUCUUUAAGUUUAUUUAUUUAAGUUAACUUUUAACUCAUAUUAAUAAUGUUUAAAUGAGUAUAGAACACAUAAAAAAAAUAGGAACUCGGCAAAAAUUUUCUUCAACUGUUUAUCAAAAACAUAGCUAGUAGGUUAUACUUCAUUAUUAGUUAGCUUCUGCCCGGUGAUGUAAAAUUUAACGGCCGCAGUACACUGACUGUGCAAAGGUAGCAUAAUCAAUUGGCUAUUAAUUGUAGUCGAGUAUGAAGGAGUCCAUGGGGAAAAGCUGUCUUUUUUUUUUAUUUCUAGAACUUGUUAAGCAAGUGCAAAAACUUGCGUUUCGUUAUAAUAGACGAGAAGACCCUAUAAAUUUUUACUAAUAUUAGAAGAUAUCUUGAUCGUUUUUGUUGGGGCAACAAUGUAACACAAUAAAGAAAUUUACAAUGAAAAUAUGAUUUAAUAAAACGAGUUUUACUAAGAACAACUAAAUUACUAUAGGGAUAACAGCAUAAUUUUAACAUUAAGA
RNAcentral lists this ribosomal RNA (705 nucleotides) under Neostyriaca brembina brembina. RNAcentral describes it as "Clausilia brembina brembina partial 16S ribosomal RNA". The record is from RNAcentral. Lineage: Eukaryota; Metazoa; Mollusca; Gastropoda; Stylommatophora; Clausiliidae.